UUUAGAGCAUGUCAAAUACAGAAGUGAAUGUUAGUGGCAAACCAGUGAACUGAAAACAGACAUCUUGUUGGUAGAUUUUGAGACAGGAUUACAAUAGUUGAAGGUGUUGUUAACUCCAAAAGAACAACAUUGUCAAUGACCCAGAGCUUUCUGGUACUAGACCAAUAUUCAAACAAUGAACAUAGACAGAUCUAUGGCUCCAAAUGCAUAUGUGGCAGAGUAUGGGCACCAAUGGAAGGAGAAGCCUUGGUCCUACCUAGGUUUGUCUCCCAGUUCAAGGGAAUUUCAAGGGGCAGAAUUAUGGUUAGAGAAGAAGGGAUUGUGAACAGGUAGUGAUCUUAUGGGCAGGAAAUUGAGAAAGGACAUAAUAUUUUAAAUGUAAAUAUAGACUCAUCCAGUUUAAAAACACUAUAAUUUGAUAAAAAUUUAAAAAAGAAAGAUUUAAAAGUAAAGAAAACUGCCAACUAAUCACACUUAUUUAAUCAGAUCUCUAAAUUGGUAUUCAGAGUAAUACUAGUGGAAAGACAAAGAUGAUGAAGUCUCAACUAGAAGCACUUCUUUCUCCGAAAUAUCCGUGUCAGACACAAAAUGCACUAUAGGUAUCCAAAGCUUGGAGGAGUUUACUCUGAGCUAAGUACCCAAUACUUGUCUUUACCUCCUUCCUUAAGACCUUUUUCUUCUGGGCAAAAAGAAUAAAGGCCAUAGCUCUCAGAAAAACAACUGUGCCCUCUCAAAAUCUAUUCUUUGCAAUUAAGAAAUGAAUGAUAUAAACCCUUUGACAUUCAGGAACCAUAAGAACAGGGAAUUCCAGAUGCUUCUGUGAUGCUUCCAGCUCUUGAUUCUCAUAUGUGUAAGUCUCAGAUCAAGUCUAUCUCUUCAGCGAUACCACUCCAACCCUUCCAAGGACUCUCUGAACUUUUCAAAAUACCACUUAUUUCUUCAUUUUUUUCAUACAAAGACAGAAGGCCAGGUUCCUUCUUCACAUCUCUGAUCUCCUCAUCCUGUUUGUUCUCACUCCCAAAUGGCUGUUUACUCUGAAUUAGUGGCAAAUUAGUAAACCAGAGAGGUAAUGAGGUAAUAUGUGAGAGUCAGUUCCUGUCAGGACAAUAAUUGUUACAUCACAGAAGAAGCUAGGGCUCUCCUAGUUACAACAGAUUUUUCAUGGAGGUCCUAUUUAUGAUGUCACUGAGAACUGCCAUCUCCUACCUGCUAAACAGCUUUCCUUACAUUUACCAGAUUCGAGGGUGUCCUUUCCAGGUAUGUCUCCUGUGACACAGUGGAAAGCUUUACGUACUCCAUCUCUCUUAAGCUAGAGACUUAUCUCUGCUUCACUAGUGGUUACAUGCUCUGAAUGGAGAAGGUUAGUCAGGGGCUUGGCAUGGGUCCCUAAGAUCUAGGAAUAUGGAGUGCAGGAGAUUCUACUGGAUAAUAAUUUUAUUCCCAGUUCCAUUCCUCUGGCCUAUAAUUCAAUUUCCUCAGAUAUCUUUCUUUUCUAAAAGCCAGUAUUUUCCCUACAGAUCUUUAAUUGAGUGAAUAUUUUAUUACAUUUUCUUAGUGUACAUUCCUUGAUAGUGGACUUUAUAUAUAUUGCUGAAUGUGUACUCAAAUGUUCUAUUAUCCUAUUCCAUUUUUUUGCUCUGAUUUUGAAAAAAAGGGGGCCCAGUACUAAAGUGAAUAUAACAGUGUAUAUAUUCUGUAUCUACUUAAAUGACAAACUCCCAAAUCCUUAUUUUAUCCAAAAAUUACCACACAUUAGUAAAGCAAAGGACAACAUAGACUAUAAUGUGGUUCUGCGGUAGCAGUAGAUAGCAGUUCUCUAAUAUCUACCUUCCAGUGUUUCCAUGGCCAGACUUGAGGGUUUUGGAUGUUUUACCAUGAUUCUUUAUUCAGUCCAAACAUAAAGUUCAUUACAUGGACUGGGAGAGGAGUGGCUUGAAGUCAAGUGAAUCUUCUACUUCAGUAGGUUCAUAAGAAUAGAAUGGCGUCUAUAUGGCUUCGUCAUUUGUGGAUUCUAAAUUCUUAACUUAGUUGCGCAGAAUACUUGUUAAACAUCCACCAAACACCAUAGCUGUACAAGGGACCAAUUAUAUCCUAAUCAUUCUGAUUGCUGUGCUAUGGAAACUCAGGAUUUUGUUUUUGAUUUCCAUUUACCUGAUGGCUAAGGAUGUUGAUAUUCCUCAGUUGAGAAUUCAUUGUUUAGCUCUACACACACAAACACAAACACAAACACACACACAUACACACACUCUCUGUCUCUGUCUCUGUCUCUCUCUCUGUCUCUCUCUCUCCCUCUCUCUCUCUCUCUCCCUCUCCCUCUCUCUCUCUCUCUCUCUCUCUCUCUCUCUCUCUCUCUCUCUCCGCAAUCAAAUGUAGAUAAGAGUGAUGAAGCUAAGGAGUCUAUGCUGCCAGUGAACUGAAAAUGGACAUCUUGUUGGUAGGAUUUGAGAAAGGAUUAGAAGAGCUAAAGGUAUUUUCAACACCAUAAGAACAACAAUGCAAAAAAAAAAAAAAAAAAAAAAAACAGAGAUUUCUGGUACUAAACCAAUAUUCAAAGACUGUACAUGGACAGAACUAUGGCUCCAACUGCAUAUGUGACAAAGGAUGGUCUUGGGGUCACCAAUGGAAGGAGAAGCCAUUGGGUUUGACUCCAAGUUCAAGGCAAUGUCAGGGAGCAGUAAGGUGGGUUAUAGAAGAAGGGGAGCAGAAUUGGAUAGGGCAAUUAUGGAAAAGAAACUGGGAAAGGAAAUAACAUUUGAAAUGCAAAUGUAGAAAUAUCCAGUUAAAAAAGCAAUAAAAUUUUAUAAAAAAUAAAAAAAUGAAAGAAAGAAAAAAAUCUGCCAGCUAAUCAAACCUAUUGACACAGAAAUCUAAAUAGUCACUGUCAGGGAAUGGUAUUCAGAGUAAUACUAAUAGAAAGACUGAGAUGAUGAAGUCUCAACUAGAAGCUCUUCUUCUCCAGAUAUCAGUGUCAUAAACAAAUUGCACAAUAGGAAUCCAAAGCAUGGAGGCGUUUACACUGAGCUGAGGAGAUAAUACUUGUCUUUCCUUUGUUUCUUUGGACCUUUUCUUCAGGGCAAAAAGAGUAAAAGCCACAAGCUCUGAGAAGAACAACUGUGCCCUUCCCAACAACUGGCUUUUGUAAUGAAUAAAUUGAUUAUAUAAACUCUCUUACUUACAGGAACCAUAUCAAGCAGGAAUAAAGAAAAGGACUGUUUACUGCACGAUCUCUUGAUAUCACGGAACAAUUCUUCCAACACUACAAAGUGAAAUCUCAUAAAGAAAUGGGUACCCGAAGCCACAGUUUCUUACCUUCUAUUUGGUUGUGCACACUGUGACCACCAUUUCAUUUUAACCAGGUUUAACGCAAAGCUUCUUUGAAGAUGUUCCCAUUUCCACCAACUCACUUCAACCUCAAUGCCCUGGCAUUACCCUACACUGGGGAAACAAGUCUUCACUGGAUUAAAGGAUUUUAAUUCCAAUCAUGCUGGACAGUGCAUUUCUCUGCCACACAUGUGGCUGGAAUCAUUGGUUCCUCAAACUGUACUCACUAGUGGGUUGUUUAAUCCCCCUAAUUUCUGGUGGGGUCUUGUUGGUUGAUAUUGUUGUUCUUCCUGGGGUUUUGCAAAUCCCUUCAGCUCAUUAAGUAUUUUCUCUAAAACUUCCAUUGAAACCCCCAUGUUUAAUCCAAUGGUUAGCUGCAACCAUCCUCAUUUAUAUCAGUAGGGAUCUGUCAGAGCCUCUCAGGAGACAUCCAUAUCUGAUUUCUAUCAGCAAGGAUUUGUUGGCAUGAGCAAUGAAGUCUGAAUUGGGUGGCGGCAUAGUGGAUGGAUCCCCACGUGGGGCAGUCUCUGGUUGACCCUUUCUUCAGUCCCUGCUUGACUCUUUAUCAUUGUAUUUCCUUCCAUGAAUAUUUUGUUCCUUCUUCUUAGAAACAAUGUAGCAUCCACAUUUUGGUCUUCUUUUAGUUUGGGCUUCAUAUGACCUGUGGAUUCUUUCUUAUGAAUUCCACACUUUUGGGUUGAUACACACUUCCAAUUAGUUUAUAUUAUUUGUGUUAUUACCUCACACAGAAUGAUAAUUUCUAAUUCCAUCCUAAGAAUUUUAUGCAAACAUUGUUUUUGAUAGCUUAGGAUACAGGGUGUAAAUAUACCACAUUUCCUUUAUCCAUUUCUUUGUUGAGGGACAUCUGGGUUCUUUUCAGCU
Molecule: non-coding RNA, 4203 nt
Organism: Rattus norvegicus (Norway rat)
Lineage: Eukaryota; Metazoa; Chordata; Mammalia; Rodentia; Muridae
Source: RefSeq, a predicted model, not a curated record